GGCGGUUUGUCGCGUCUGUCGUGAAAGUCCGGGGCUUAACCCCGGAUCUGCGGUGGGUACGGGCAGACUAGAGUGCAGUAGGGGAGACUGGAAUUCCUGGUGUAGCGGUGGAAUGCGCAGAUAUCAGGAGGAACACCGAUGGCGAAGGCAGGUCUCUGGGCUGUAACUGACGCUGAGGAGCGAAAGCAUGGGGAGCGAACAGGAUUAGAUACCCUGGUAGUCCAUGCCGUAAACGUUGGGCACUAGGUGUGGGGACCAUUCCACGGUUUCCGCGCCGCAGCUAACGCAUUAAGUGCCCCGCCUGGGGGGUACGGCCGCAAGGCUAAAACUCAAAGGAAUUGACGGGGGCCCGCACAAGCGGCGGAGCAUGCGGAUUAAUUCGAUGCAACGCGAAGAACCUUACCAAGGCUUGACAUGUUCUCGAUCGCCGUAGAGAUACGGUUUCCCCUUUGGGGCGGGAUCACAGGUGGUGCAUGGUUGUCGUCAGCUCGUGUCGUGAGAUGUUGGGUUAAGUCCCGCAACGAGCGCAACCCUCGUUCCAUGUUGCCAGCACGUAAUGGUGGGGACUCAUGGGAGACUGCCGGGGUCAACUCGGAGGAAGGUGGGGACGACGUCAAAUCAUCAUGCCCCUUAUGUCUUGGGCUUCACGCAUGCUACAAUGGCCGGUACAAUGGGUUGCGAUACUGUGAGGUGGAGCUAAUCCCAAAAAGCCGGUCUCAGUUCGGAUUGGGGUCUGCAACUCGACCCCAUGAAGUCGGAGUCGCUAGUAAU
Molecule: ribosomal RNA, 771 nt
Filed under: uncultured bacterium
Lineage: Bacteria
Description: bacterial SSU rRNA
Rfam family: Bacterial small subunit ribosomal RNA
Source: RNAcentral